UGGGGAAUAUUGGACAAUGGGGGGAACCCUGAUCCAGCCAUGCCGCGUGUGUGAAGAAGGCCUUAUGGUUGUAAAGCACUUUAAGCGAGGAGGAGGGUACUGGUAUUAAUACUACCAGCUACUGGACGUUACUCGCAGAAUAAGCACCGGCUAACUCUGUGCCAGCAGCCGCGGUAAUACAGAGGGUGCGAGCGUUAAUCGGAUUUACUGGGCGUAGAGCGUGCGUAGGCGGCUAAUUGAGUCGGAUGUGAAAUCCCCGAGCUUAACUUUGGAAUUGCAUUCGAUACUGGUUAGCUAGAGUGUGGGAGAGGAUGGUAGAAUUCCAGGUGUAGCGGUGAAAUGCGUAGAGAUCUGGAGGAAUACCGAUGGCGAAGGCAGCCAUCUGGCCUAACACUGACGCUGAGGUACGAAAGCAUGGGGAGCAAACAGG
This 430-nucleotide ribosomal RNA is filed under the name Pseudomonadota bacterium. RNAcentral describes it as "Proteobacteria bacterium partial 16S ribosomal RNA". It matches the Rfam family "Bacterial small subunit ribosomal RNA", at positions 355 to 776 of the family's 1533-position model. Lineage: Bacteria; Pseudomonadati; Pseudomonadota. The record is from RNAcentral.